This 559-nucleotide ribosomal RNA is filed under the name uncultured bacterium. RNAcentral's name for it is "bacterial SSU rRNA". It matches the Rfam family "Bacterial small subunit ribosomal RNA", at positions 9 to 546 of the family's 1533-position model. The record is from RNAcentral.
GAGUUUGAUCCUGGCUCAGAUUGAACGCUGGCGGCAGGCCUAACACAUGCAAGUCGAGCGGAAACGAGUUAACUGAACCUUCGGGGAACGUUAACGGCGUCGAGCGGCGGACGGGUGAGUAAUGCCUGGGAAAUUGCCCUGAUGUGGGGGAUAACCAUUGGAAACGAUGGCUAAUACCGCAUAAUAGCUUCGGCUCAAAGAGGGGGACCUUCGGGCCUCUCGCGUCAGGAUAUGCCCAGGUGGGAUUAGCUAGUUGGUGAGGUAAUGGCUCACCAAGGCGACGAUCCCUAGCUGGUCUGAGAGGAUGAUCAGCCACACUGGAACUGAGACACGGUCCAGACUCCUACGGGAGGCAGCAGUGGGGAAUAUUGCACAAUGGGCGCAAGCCUGAUGCAGCCAUGCCGCGUGUAUGAAGAAGGCCUUCGGGUUGUAAAGUACUUUCAGCAGUGAGGAAGGUGGGUAUGUUAAUAGCAUACUCAUUUGACGUUAGCUGCAGAAGAAGCGCCGGCUAACUCCGUGCCAGCAGCCGCGGUAAUACGAAGGGGUGCAAGCGUUUAUC